GCCGAAGUGCUGGAAUGGUAGACGGAGCGGACUCAAAAUCCGCCGAGGGCAACCUCAUGCGGGUUCAAGUCCCGCCUUCGGCACCA
RNAcentral lists this transfer RNA (86 nucleotides) under Clostridia bacterium. RNAcentral describes it as "tRNA-Leu". It matches the Rfam family "tRNA". From Rfam's summary of the family: Transfer RNA (tRNA) molecules are approximately 80 nucleotides in length. Their secondary structure includes four short double-helical elements and three loops (D, anti-codon, and T loops). The record is from RNAcentral. Lineage: Bacteria; Bacillati; Bacillota; Clostridia.